AUGGCAUUUCCCUCCCAUGGCCCCGGAGUGGUGGUGGGUGCCUUAUGUUCCCAGCAGACUGCAAUAUCCCAUCCCGGAUACGUGGCUGUAAAUUCCACACGUCUACAUGGAAUUCAUUGCACGUCAGCCCAGGAGCAAACUUCACCUCCGAGCCGGAUGGUGUGCGGGGAGAGGGAGCAGCAAACCCUUUGCAACGUGUUCGAAGCGAGAGCCUCCGUCACAGCACGCCGCUGCGGCCGUGAGAAACCCCAGCUCAGAGGAUGGUUUUCUGAUGGGGCUUUUUUUAAUACGACUGGCCUGGCCCUGGGGCUGGGCACCCCACAGCAGGCAACUUGGGGCGGCGAGCGUGAGGCGUUUUCAUGCACCGUGCUCAUGUGCAAGCAAGAGUGCAAAGCGCUGGGGAGCCAGCGUGCUGCUGGCAUUGCCUCUGUGUUGUUAAUUCAAAGUGAACAGGGUAGCUCAAGCCUUGGAAGAGGCAUGGGAUGGCUUGUUUCUCCCCUGGCUCAUGCUGUGCCCUUCGACGCAUGGACAGCCAAACCUGRGUGGUACUUCUGCAUCGAAGCAAACCCUAAUUAAACAGUGAUUGGCACCAAACUCAGCCCCCGACUGGGAUGUCGGCACUGGAGCUGGGGGAAGGGAUUUGGGCGUCCAAAUCCCAGUGCUUCCUCUGCAAAUCCCAGUCUCCCCAGCGCAUCUCCACAUCCUCCUGCUCUGUGCUCAUGGGCAAGUGGCACGGCCAGGUUCCCCAGCGCGGUGCCUCAGUUUCCCCUCUCACCCCGUCCCACCAGUGGUGAGGCUGUGUGACCCACCGGCUGCAGGAAAGCUGCCAGGGCCCCCGAAAGGAGGGUUUGCAGCACCCCAAAACUGCUCCAGCUUCCAUGGAGAAACACAACAGUCAUCUCCAGGCGUGCACAGGGUGCUGGGCUUGUCCUGGCACUGCGGCUGUACCUGGCUGGAGGAGCUGCAAAUGCAAAUGCAAAUGCAGACCUGGCUGGAGCAGCUGGAAAUGCAAAUGUAAUGCCACAUACACAACUAACAGCUUUACAGGUGGCCAGUUGUGAGGAAAAUGGAUCAAAAAAGGAACAAGCCAGGCCUGCCCCAGGGAUCCUUGCAGCCUUGGCCAGGCUUUUCUUCCCCCUCUCUCCUCCUCUUUUUCUGAAAUCCAUGCCUCAGUUUCACUGCCUGUAAAAAUAGGGGUUGCUUCAAAAUGCUGCAUGCAUGAACCAGCGCAGGGGAUUAGCCCCAAGCAGGGGGCCAGGUUAUCCCAGCCCAGGGCUGCAAGGUGCCACCAGCAUGAUGAAUGCAGAUGCAGAGGGCCGGCUCUGCUCCCAGGCGUCGCAGACCGAGACGCGGACCCAGCAACCCAGUGCAGGCUCUGGAUGCUGCCGACAGCCRCGAGGAUUUCACGGGGAGGAGAGACUUUUCUGGAGCUCAGCCUGCAGCUAAACAAAUUCAAAUGGGAAUGAAAACAUGCUUUUUCAACAUGAGAAAAAAAAGGAGUCUGGCAGACCCUUCCCAAGGCAGGGAUAGUGCCUUAAAAAUCCCGGCUGUAAAACACCAGCUCCCGGCAUGGCAG
Apteryx owenii (little spotted kiwi) is the source of this 1576-nucleotide long non-coding RNA. NCBI's taxonomy places the organism in Eukaryota, Metazoa, Chordata, Aves, Apterygiformes, Apterygidae. The record is from Ensembl.